This 1262-nucleotide unclassified non-coding RNA is filed under the name Portunus trituberculatus (swimming crab). Its description in RNAcentral is "uncharacterized LOC123498493, transcript variant X2". Lineage: Eukaryota; Metazoa; Arthropoda; Malacostraca; Decapoda; Portunidae. The record is from RNAcentral.
CGCUUGUCUACAUGUGUGGCAGCGGAAGCGGAAGCGGAAAUCAGAAGUGGUUUUGAGUGAUCACGCCUACUCAGUGGCUAUUGAGGGAGGUAUAGGGCCGAUUUGCCAACCAUAAACAGGAAGCCUUGAAAUUUUAGACGAUAAAAGCAAGCGCCUCUGCCCAGGCCUCCUAAGCGACUCCACAACAAAGGGUGCGAUGCACGUGUUACCACCACAACAAAGGACCAUGCCCGCCGAGGACCCUGUCGUGGUGGAGGACGGCUUACUAGCCCUGGAAGACAUAGAGAUUGUUGAGGAGCCUGGUGAGGAGGGCACUCACCCUGUCAUUAUUCAUGGUGAGUCGACCCACAUCAUUGUUAACCUGAUAGAGGUACCAGCUGGCCUCCAUGGGCCCAAGAGAGGAAUGGUUGGGCAGAUGCCAAGGCCUCAACUGUUGGUAGUGGUGACAGGGAAGGUGCCCAGUGAGGUGCAUCUCCUGGGCCUUGGACGUCGAUGUGUGGAGCGAUACACGCCAGAGCCAGAUUUAUUUUGCCACUGCAGUCGCUGGGGACACAAGGAGUGGCGUUGCCAGUCUGCCCCUCGCUGUAAAUACUGUGCUCCAUGGCCCCCAUAAGUCAGUACAGUGCCUGGAUAAGAUCAAGGAGGGCACACCAAAAUUCCUCCUCGCUGCUGUAAUUGUCAGGGUGACCACAACGUCCACUCCACCCUCUGCACCGUCACGCCUCGGCCCCACAGGGAGCCUGCCACUGAUGAGGGCCUUGCUGACCAACCACUCCACCCUGGAGAUGACCCUCCCCGUGCAGUCCGCCCCGGCAGUGCCCAAGAAGCGCCUGACGGUGCCGCCAUCCAGGAUGGCGGGCCUCGUCGUCCAUGUGGUUGCGUGGUACGCUGCCGUGAUAAAUACUUUUGGGAAGUCAGUGCGUCUCCUGGUGUGUGCUGCACCAAAGGGACACACUCUGCGUCAUUAUGUCACAAUCCAUAAUGUCCUCUCAUUGCUAAAUUUAGGCCACAAGACCAACAUGACCUGUAUAGCCUCAUUAACCAUCUCCUAGACCCAGCCACUCUCAGGGAUAUACUCAAGGAAUAUCCUAUGUUUGCUCCCAGACUGUAGGAUAUUUAUGCAAUAAGGUGUGCAAUAUAUUAUAUAUUUUUGUAUUUUUGAUACUCUACCCUUACGUCUUUGUCUUGGGAGUGGGUGGCAAGGUCCAUCCUCCUCAUUUGUUGCAUUUCAUUAUUAACGCAACAAUAAAUGUAUCAAUCAA